This 646-nucleotide long non-coding RNA is filed under the name Phoenix dactylifera (date palm). Its description in RNAcentral is "long non-coding RNA (PDAC_LNC010495)". Lineage: Eukaryota; Viridiplantae; Streptophyta; Magnoliopsida; Arecales; Arecaceae. The record is from RNAcentral.
AAUUAAUAUUAUUGCUAAUAAAUAAUGAUUAAAUGUGUUGCAUUAAAAUCAUAUUUUUUGUGGUGCAAAAGUUAUUGUAAAUCAAGAGUUUAAAUGCACAUUUUGUAUAGUUUGGGAUAAGGCAUGGCUCCAAGCCUAAUGAUGUUAGGAGCAUAAUUGAAUCUGGUCAAGCACAUUUGCACCGGAGCUACACAUGUCUACAUGCCAUAGCCUCUUCCCAGGACACAUGCCAAAGAUCCUGCUGCAGCCCUCAUCCGUUACCAUCUUCAGCAUACCGCGAGCUCCCAGAUUCGUGAUUUGAUCUCAGAGGCUUCCAAGCGUCCGCUCCUCCUCGAGUCCAUUCACAACCCGAUCAACGCCCCUUCUUCCGCCCGUUUCACACGCCUCCCAGCUCCCGGAUCAAGCAACAUCACCUCCCAGCGCGGCAUCUCCUCCGGUUUAUCUCACAUCGGCGUCCAACUCUUCAUCUGCCCGUGAUCGUCUCCCAGCCUUCGCGAUUCAUCCGGCAUCCGUCUCAUCCGCGAUCACCUCCCACGCGUCCGCUCGCCUCCUCUGCAUCACAUCCCAGCAAAGAACCAGCUUAUUAAUCCAUGAUUUCAGCCAGCGAUCAUCCUCCUCCAGCGUGCAGCCCAUCCGUUCGCAUUCA